Molecule: non-coding RNA, 1339 nt
Organism: Dermacentor andersoni
Lineage: Eukaryota; Metazoa; Arthropoda; Arachnida; Ixodida; Ixodidae
Source: RefSeq, a predicted model, not a curated record
AUGGCACAGAAAUUUUAUUGUGUUUAUGUUCGCGUUUUAGGACGUCUCAUAAGCAUUCCACAGUUCAGUACAAUGACCCGUAUUUCUGGCAGAAACAUAUAAAACUUGUGGAUAGAGACAGCCUGAUUGAGAAUAUUUUUCAACAUUCCAGGCGCAACGGGAGAUUUGGUAAGUGUCUAUCAGAUUGGUUCCUUUUAGAAAAAAAUUUGUUUCGCUGGAAACACAUAUCGCUUGCGCGGACACGGUGAUUCCAUCACGGCAAGCCACUACAGCGAUAGAUAUAAACCAAAUAAGCUUUUCGAGCAUCUUGACACACGAUAACCAUCGUCAGGGAGCACCUAGUGGUCCUCUAUGGGCAGCAUUGUAAUCUUUUUUAAACAGUGCUUGAUGACUUUGUGUUUUUACAGUUGCCCCCAAUAAAGCCAGAAUAUUAACUCUUGCGCUCGACGUAACGUUACGGCCUUCAAGAAAAGUAAUAUCACAAGCGUAGGAUUGAACGAUAGAAUGUAUUACUGAUACAUACUGGCAUAUUACAACGCUCAAUGUAUAUUCUAUAUUUGCUGAAUAAUCACUGUGAGAUGUAGUUUGCAAUCAUAAAUUACUGCUGGUCAAUCACAGAAAACAUUUCCUUUGUCUAAGGAAAAGAAAAUUUUAAUAAUGACACUUGGCAAAGGAUCUGCGAGGAUGAAAUUCAAUGACCAAAUAACUAUGACAGCAUCUAUGAUGCUGAAGAACCUGAGCGAAAUUGCAGCAGUAGGCUGGGGAGAAACACAAAAGCAUUCAUGAGCUUAUUUCGGCCGACAACCAUACGUUCACGGACCAUAAGAGCAUACAUAAUAGGCAUUAAAAUUCGUCACAUUUCGCAUUUUAUAAGUAGCGCUCCAUUUUCUGUUGUGAAUUGUAAGACCUAAUUAUAUUUAAAAGGGGAUACGUAUGCAUUAAAAUAACGUGAUUACAUCAUUCUUUCACCAGAGCCGGUGUUUCUUUCCGCAUCAAGGCGUACCAGCGUAUUGGAAUUUCUGGUUGUAAUGGCAGGACGCAUCACAGCAUUUCUUUUCAUGUGUGCCGUGUUCGCCUACGGCAUCAUGGUUAUUGCAGCCCGUCAAGAUGCUACAGCACGCGGAAGUUCAGUGCCGGCGAGUGCUGCCAAUGAGGAUGCAAGAAUCUCAUCAGCUGCGAUCGGAAGCUUGGCGGGUGGAGGCCUCGGCUGAAACUCACGUGAUUGGCUGCACCGAGAGAGCAGCGUGAGAGAACCGACUUUUGUCGCGUGCUCGCUUUAUUCUUUAGCGAGCGCAUUGUUCACCGCUCAAAUGGAAUAAAUGUCGCAACAUCACGUGGU